CUGCAGCCCACUUAUGUGCCCUUGAGUGGGAAUCAACCCUCGACCCUUCGGGGCCAACUCUCUAACCACUGAGCAACACCAGCCAGGGCAAAGUUUUAUUUUUAAGGAAAUGGCACCACACCCGGAGUCACAGGUGAGAGGGAAGAAAACGGCUCUCUGAUGGCUUCCAGGAGGUGGGUUACAUAGAGGGAGAAUCAGUAAUCAUGGUGACUAAGGGGGUUAGGGUCAUGAUCUCCACUGAUCGUGUCGGUGCCAGGGUAGGGGACAGGGGAUCAUUGCUUCUGGUCCUGACUUCGCUUCAGCUAGUUUCACCAGGAUGUGGUCGGUGGAGUUGGUUCACUUUUCCGAGUCUGGAGCAGAAACAUAACUGAGGCCUAGAUGUUAUCUUUGACUAAAACUGUCUCUGUGGUCAAUAGGCCUGAGGCUUUGUUCCUGGCGUUGCUUAAUGCUGACCGGCAACCGGGGCCUCAUUAUCCUGAGGGCUUAAAGAUUAAGGGAGUGGACGUGCAAGGGAGAAGGAGACAGUCCAAGAAGCCUGCUGGAGAAAGAACAGUGUGGUGAAAUUAUAUUCGAGUUUGAUAAACAUCUUGCUCUUCGGACAAGACAAUUGAUUAGAGCUCGUCUGUUCAUCUAAAUGGAUCAGCUCAGCUCAGAAGUAAAAGGAUGUGUCUCAUUCCUGCAAGCCUAGACCACCUCUUUCCCCGGCACCUCCAUAAUUUCUAGGGAGCGGAGUUCUUACAAUGAGUCCAGAGCAGACAUUUCCCAGAAACACCUGCUAGAAAUUUUCAAAGGCAAACAUGACGAUACCGUCCCAUCUUCUCUACCCCCCGAGACGCCACAAUACGCCUCCUUUACGUGGAAGUCAGAUGGGGAAACCGAGUCCAAGAGGCUUUAAAAAACCACCCGGGUCAUGUAGCCUUGAGUGGUGACAGAGCUGGGGUUUCACUCCAGGCAAGCUGGUUCUACCGAGUCCACACUCUGCCCUGCUCUGGCCCCAGUGGACACCAGCUGACGACCCUCAGGGACACAGGCCACCAGGCUCUCCCCGAGGGUUCUGGUUUCCCUGGUGUUCCAGCGGCAGGCUCAGCCAUUCCUUCAGCUCCCAGCAGACACCUCUCUGAAAGCAAACAGAUGGGGAGCAGGACCAAGUGUGUCCGCCCAACCGCGACGUCCCAAAGCGAGGGACUUUCCAAGGCUCCCACCCCGCUUUCUGGCUCUGAUUUUCCUGGGAAUGCCACCGUCUUCAAGGGCGCAGGAAGGUGACUGAUCCAGGAGACACAGAGGAAAUGAAAGCACGGGCACCUGCGAGGAUUGUCUAACAUCCACACGGCCCCCUUUCUUUAUUUAGACACUUUCAGAUUCCACCCCCCGUCACCCUUACAUCUCUGCUCCCGAGUGGGUCUAAAUGCUGCCUCCCUUCCCCCCUCCUCCCUGGCCCACCCCCUGCCACCUGCUUCUUUAGUCAUUUCAGGGGACUCACUUUUUCCUGGGCACGUGACCUCUGCCCGAUUCCCUGCCUCCACGUGGGUGACCGUUGCUGCAGGCCUGGGCCCCUUCCGGACCCUAGGCCCCAUCAGAGCCCGGCUUCCUUCCUCUUCGUUAGCCCUGGUUCCGUGCCUGCUUGUGACACCCACUGCUCCCAGGGGCUCCCUGUCCCCUCUGGACUGCAGGCACUCCCCAGAGGUACAGCCAGGGGCUUGCCAACCUCCUCAUGCUUCCCCCGCCCCCCAUUCUGCACUGCACGCUUCUCCACCCAGGACCCCACCUGAAACUCAGCAGCCCUACCCCCCUGCCCCCACACCAAAGGUGGCUGUAGCUGACUUCUCUGCUUCCUCCCACACUCUACCACUCAGACACUAAAGGCCAGCCUCCUCUGGGGUGUAUAGUACCCCGCUGUGCCUCCUUUCACCCACUGGGUAUGGCUCCAGGUUUUUUCCCUGUGUCCUCAUCGGGAGUGGCUUCAGGGUUCCCCUCGGUGAUCAUCAGACUUCCCGUUCUCAUAGACCCCCCAGGACCUCUGUUGUCCCUUUACUUCACUACCCACCCCAUGUCCAAAGCCACACCCUGCACCUUUCCCCACCCAGAACGAUGCCACCCGUACAACUUGGAUUUCAGCUCCUGGUCCUGUGAGCAGCUUCCAGGCCCUCCAGCCUUUUCUCCCUCACUCCCUGCUCAAUGCCGUCACUGCCAGCGCCCACCCCAUCAGGCCCUCCCUGGUCACACAUCCCAACCCCACUCAGCCUGGACUCCAGGUCAGUCAUGUGAGCUAACUUUCAGUAGCCUCUUUGGGCCCUCCCACCCCACAGACUCACCUUCAAAUCCCCCAGGGCAUUGGGGCAAUUCCAUAUGCAAGUGAGUCAGAGAACUGGAGGGAAAUCCAACUGUGAAACCCCAGGAAUUCAAUCUCAAGGUUCCUGGCUCCCUCUGCAGCUCUUCCACACAUUGGCCCUCCUCUCAAGUCCCCAUCAAACCUCUACUCCUCUCCUUCUCACCAGGCAAGACCGCAUCCAUCCAUCCAUCCGCUCAGCUCAGCCUUGCAGCUGGUGGCCUUGACUCACGCCUCCCCCUCCACGCGUCUUCAAUCACUCCUGUCAGAGGUAGGUGUCCCUUCUCCUGGUCAAGGCCACCACCUCUGUCUGUGCGUGCUCUUGAGUCUAAUUCCUACUAUCUCCUCCUUGGCCUUGCUCCAUCCCUCCUCCUCUCCCUCUGGGAUAUGGGCUUUGCCAAGAAUAGGCUGGUGAGACUGGUGGUAUGGGUUGAAUUGUAUCCCCCAAAGCUAUGUCCUGACACUCAGUACUUCAGAGUGUGACCUUAUUUGGAAAUAGGGUCUCCACAAAAAAAAAAAAAAGUUAAAAUGAGGUUGGGGACCCUGGCCAGGUAGGGUAGCUCAGUUGGUUAAUGCAUUGUCCCAACAUGCCAGAGCCCCCCUCAGAGCCACUCAUCCAAUGAAGGCAUAACUACGUGGAACAACAAAGCUCUCUCUCUCGCUCGCUCUCAAAAAAUAAAAUGAGGUUAGGUGGGCCCUAAUCCAAUAUAAGUAUCCGUAUAAAACGGGAAAAUGUGGACAGAGGGACGGUGGCCUGAAGACACACAGGGGGCAGAUGAGCAGAUGGUCCUGCGCGUUCCUAGCCGAGGCUGAGGAGCGUUAGCAAACCCCAGGAGCUGACGAGUUGGCCUGAUGUCCCAGCGGGUCUGCCCCACAGCUGUCAGAGAGCGGCCCUGCCCACUCCCGGAUUCAGGACUUGCCACGUCCAGAACCGAGACAGUGCCUUUCUGUUGCCUUAAGUUGGGGGGCUUCGUCACGGCAGCCCCAGGAGACUCUGCAGCUGGGGACGCGGGCCCUGAGAGGGGCUCUGACACCUCUUCCUGGGAAUUCGGAGUCCUUCCUGGCAGUCACCGGUUUAAAAUUGUAGCUCAGAAGUGACUCCAGAGGUCUGUGAUGUGUGCUAAUGUGUAAAGCCAAGGUCCCCGAGGGUGUAUCCUAAGUACAUUCGAGUCCCAGCUCCCAGCUCUGAGCCAGCCCCCUGCAGGCUUCCAGCGCUGUGGACUGAGCCGGUGCGGCUGGUCACCAGGGUAGGGGAAGUCCAGUCAGAGCCGGGGUUUCCAGGAGUGUCCCCGAGCCUGGCAUAGCUUUUGUGCCUGUGCACACAGGCCAGCCCCUGGGACACACUGGCUCUCACGCAUGGUCAGGACAACCCGGGGAGCUUCGAGAUGCUCGGUGGAACCUGCUGACAGUUUCCCGAGGGUGACUCAGUGCCGCACUGAGAAGCCGGCUGGGAAUGAAGAGCCUGUGCUUUCCUGUCCUUCCUCCUGUCUUUCCAGGAAGCCCUUGGAACAGAGUCCCAAGCGCUCGCUCCAGCCAGCCCGGAUCCUGCUUCCCGCUGCUCGAGGACCAGCGCCAUCAGAUAACAUCCAGGUGGCUGUGAGCACCACGCUCCCCUCCGGAGCCUGGAGCCCGCAGUGCCCUCUCCUCCACUGCCCAGGCCUUUCAAGUGGUCUGAAUAGCGCAUUCCACUUUCAUCUGUCUCCUCUGUCCUGGGAAUAAUCUGUAUAGUCUGCGGUUCCGCCCCUAGUCGGAGCUCAACAAAUAUUGACUAGGAUGAAUUUUUAAAGCAGUUUGAGUCGUCAUGUCAAGGCAGGAGCAAGAUGACACCAAGAAACCUUACUCAGAGGAGGUUUGUCAGCCACCCGUUCCUAUCAGGCUCCUGCCAGCACCCCUGCCAGCGACCCUCUCAAACCAGGACCCACAGGUUUGCCGAAUCCACCCCCUCUCCUCCCAGCUCACUCACAGCCCAGGCUCCCAGACCAGGAGGAGCCGGUGUUCAGGUGGAAUUAGAAUGAUUGUGCUUUCAAGUGAAAUGGAAGCCAGAGGUUCCUCGGAGCGUCUGAUUGAUGCAUGGAAGGGUCCUCAGGGGGAGCUAAGUACCCUGAGUGGGCAGGUUAGGAGCCUGGAGGACUCAGGAACACGAUGCCCACAGGUCCAAGCCCCAGGCACAGUCCUGGCUCACAGUUCCAGCAGCCUGUUUGAACAAGCCAGCUGAGUGAGACUCUUCAUGGGUCUAGCAAAAAAAUAUCUUUCUUCCCCAGCCAGCGUGGCUCAGUGGUUGAACCAGGAGGUCACGGUUCAAUUCCU
Molecule: long non-coding RNA, 4633 nt
Organism: Myotis davidii
Lineage: Eukaryota; Metazoa; Chordata; Mammalia; Chiroptera; Vespertilionidae
Exons: 4
Source: RefSeq, a predicted model, not a curated record